CUACAGGCUUAACACAUGCAAGUCGAGGGGCAGCAUGGUCUUAGCUUGCUAAGGCCGAUGGCGACCGGCGCACGGGUGAGUAACACGUAUCCAACCUGCCGUCUACUCUUGGACAGCCUUCUGAAAGGAAGAUUAAUACAAGAUGGCAUCAUGAGUCCGCAUGUUCACAUGAUUAAAGGUAUUCCGGUAGACGAUGGGGAUGCGUUCCAUUAGAUAGUAGGCGGGGUAACGGCCCACCUAGUCUUCGAUGGAUAGGGGUUCUGAGAGGAAGGUCCCCCACAUUGGAACUGAGACACGGUCCAAACUCCUACGGGAGGCAGCAGUGAGGAAUAUUGGUCAAUGGGCGAGAGCCUGAACCAGCCAAGUAGCGUGAAGGAUGACUGCCCUAUGGGUUGUAAACUUCUUUUAUAAAGGAAUAAAGUCGGGUAUGGAUACCCGUUUGCAUGUACUUUAUGAAUAAGGAUCGGCUAACUCCGUGCCAGCAGCCGCGGUAAUACGGAGGAUCCGAGCGUUAUCCGGAUUUAUUGGGUUUAAAGGGAGCGUAGAUGGAUGUUUAAGUCAGUUGUGAAAGUUUGCGGCUCAACCGUAAAAUUGCAGUUGAUACUGGAUAUCUUGAGUGCAGUUGAGGCAGGCGGAAUUCGUGGUGUAGCGGUGAAAUGCUUAGAUAUCACGAAGAACUCCGAUUGCGAAGGCAGCCUGCUAAGCUGCAACUGACAUUGAGGCUCGAAAGUGUGGGUAUCAAACAGGAUUAGAUACCCUGGUAGUCCACACGGUAAACGAUGAAUACUCGCUGUUUGCGAUAUACUGCAAGCGGCCAAGCGAAAGCGUUAAGUAUUCCACCUGGGGAGUACGCCGGCAACGGUGAAACUCAAAGGAAUUGACGGGGGCCCGCACAAGCGGAGGAACAUGUGGUUUAAUUCGAUGAUACGCGAGGAACCUUACCCGGGCUUAAAUUGCAGAUGAAUUACGGUGAAAGCCGUAAGCCGCAAGGCAUCUGUGAAGGUGCUGCAUGGUUGUCGUCAGCUCGUGCCGUGAGGUGUCGGCUUAAGUGCCAUAACGAGCGCAACCCUUGUUGUCAGUUACUAACAGGUUCCGCUGAGGACUCUGACAAGACUGCCAUCGUAAGAUGUGAGGAAGGUGGGGAUGACGUCAAAUCAGCACGGCCCUUACGUCCGGGGCUACACACGUGUUACAAUGGGGGGUACAGAGGGCCGCUACCACGCGAGUGGAUGCCAAUCCCCAAAACCUCUCUCAGUUCGGACUGGAGUCUGCAACCCGACUCCACGAAGCUGGAUUCGCUAGUAAUCGCGCAUCAGCCACGGCGCGGUGAAUACGUUCCCGGGCCUUGUACACACCGCCCGUCAAGCCAUGGGAGCCGGGGGUACCUGAAGUGCGUAACCGCGAGGAGCGCCCUAGGGUAAAACUGGUGACUGG
This 1434-nucleotide ribosomal RNA is filed under the name uncultured organism. RNAcentral's name for it is "SSU rRNA". It matches the Rfam family "Bacterial small subunit ribosomal RNA". The record is from RNAcentral.